This 346-nucleotide ribosomal RNA is filed under the name uncultured bacterium. RNAcentral describes it as "bacterial SSU rRNA". It matches the Rfam family "Bacterial small subunit ribosomal RNA", at positions 73 to 422 of the family's 1533-position model. The record is from RNAcentral.
AAGCCUUUCGGGGUGGAUUAGUGGCGAACGGGUGAGUAACACGUGGGCAAUCUGCCCUGCACUCUGGGACAAGCCCUGGAAACGGGGUCUAAUACCGGAUAAUACCUUCCUCCGCAUGGUGGGGGGUUGAAAGCUCCGGCGGUGCAGGAUGAGCCCGCGGCCUAUCAGCUUGUUGGUGAGGUAGUGGCUCACCAAGGCGACGACGGGUAGCCGGCCUGAGAGGGCGACCGGCCACACUGGGACUGAGACACGGCCCAGACUCCUACGGGAGGCAGCAGUGGGGAAUAUUGCACAAUGGGCGAAAGCCUGAUGCAGCGACGCCGCGUGAGGGAUGACGGCCUUCGGG